GGGGAUGAAGGGCUUCGGUUCGUAAACCCCUGUCAUCUGUGAGUAAGACUCCCAAUAAAAGCUUGGGAGGUUGAUAUUAGCAGAAGAGGAAGGGACGGCUAACUCUGUGCCAGCAGCCGCGGUAAUACAGAGGUCCCAAGCGUUGUUCGGAUUUACUGGGCGUAAAGAGUGCGUAGGCGGCUAGAAAAGUUUGGUGUGAAAUCUUCGGGCUUAACCCGGAAACUGCACUGAAAACUAUCUGGCUAGAGGAUCGGAGAGGAGAUUGGAAUUCUCGGUGUAGCAGUGAAAUGCGUAGAUAUCGAGAGGAACACCAGUUGCGAAGGCGGAUCUCUGGACGGUUUCUGACGCUGAGGCACGAAAGCUGGGGUAGCGAAGAGGAUUAGAUACCCUCGUAGUCCCAGCCGUAAACGGUGCGCACUUGCUGUGGGCGGAUUCGACCCCGUCUGUGGCGAAGCUAACGCGAUAAGUGCGCCGCCUGGGGAGUACGGUCGCAAGAUUAAAACUCAAAGAAAUUGACGGGGGCCUGCACAAGCGGUGGAGUAUGUGGCUUAAUUCGAUGCAACGCGAAGAACCUUACCUGGCCUUGACAUGUAGUGGACCGGGUGCGAAAUCACCCUUUCCUUCGGGACUGCUACACAGGUGCUGCAUGGCUGUCGUCAGCUCGUGUCGUGAGAUGUUGGGUUAAGUCCCGCAACGAGCGCAACCCCCGUGUUCUGUUGCCACCCGGAUGAGAAUCCGGAGCACUCUGGACAGACUGCCUGGUUUCAACCAGGAGGAAGGUGGGGAUGACGUCAAGUCAGUAUGGCCCUUACGGCCAGGGCUGCACACGUACUACAAUGCCUGAUAUAAUGGGAAGCGAGACCGCGAGGUGGAGCAAAUCCUCAAAAUCAGGCCCAGUUCAGAUUGUAGGCUGCAACUCGCCUACAUGAAGGAGGAAUCGCUAGUAAUGCCGUAUCAGCUACGACGGCGUGAAUACGUUCCCAGGCCUUGUACACACCGCCCGUCACAUCAUGAAAGUCGAUUGUACCCGAAGUCGCUGCGUUAACCGCAAGGAGACAGGUGCCGAAGGUAUGGUUGGUAAUUGGGAUGAAGUCGUAACAAGGUAGCCGUAGGGGAACCUGUGGCUG
This 1127-nucleotide ribosomal RNA is filed under the name marine metagenome. RNAcentral's name for it is "bacterial SSU rRNA". It matches the Rfam family "Bacterial small subunit ribosomal RNA", at positions 404 to 1520 of the family's 1533-position model. The record is from RNAcentral.